GACGAACGCUGGCGGUGUGAUUAACACAUGCAAGUCGAACGGAAAGGCCCUGCUUUUGUGGGGUGCUCGAGUGGCGAACGGGUGAGUAACACGUGAGUAACCUGCCCUUGACUUUGGGAUAACUUCAGGAAACUGGGGCUAAUACCGGAUAGGAGCUCCUGCUGCAUGGUGGGGGUUGGAAAGUUUCGGCGGUUGGGGAUGGACUCGCGGCUUAUCAGCUUGUUGGUGGGGUAGUGGCUUACCAAGGCUUUGACGGGUAGCCGGCCUGAGAGGGUGACCGGCCACAUUGGGACUGAGAUACGGCCCAGACUCCUACGGGAGGCAGCAGUGGGGAAUAUUGCACAAUGGGCGGAAGCCUGAUGCAGCAACGCCGCGUGCGGGAUGACGGCCUUCGGGUUGUAAACCGCUUUCGCCUGUGACGAAGCGUGAGUGACGGUAAUGGGUAAAGAAGCACCGGCUAACUACGUG
RNAcentral lists this ribosomal RNA (468 nucleotides) under uncultured bacterium. RNAcentral's name for it is "partial 16S ribosomal RNA". It matches the Rfam family "Bacterial small subunit ribosomal RNA", at positions 28 to 507 of the family's 1533-position model. The record is from RNAcentral.